UUGCAGACAAUGAAUGAAUGAGUGAAACUUCAUUUGCAUCAGCCAUCGGCCAUAGCAAUAAAAUAACAAUACGAUAUACAAAGAAUAGAAAUAAAAAGUCAAUUAUAUAAAAUACAUUUUAGGGUUUUGAAUCAAUUAUUCAACAGUUGAUCUUAUUCUGAUUGCCCCAGCUAAAAACCUUGCAACCUUUGCUGUCACCUGCUCAUCUUGAUCUGCCAAGAGAAAGGACCCUGUGCAGUGGUUGGGCGACCCAGAAUGGACAAUAAAAGUGGGGGGAUAAUCUAAUUCUUCAAGCUGCAGAUACCUUUUUGUCCAAGAGCAUUAGAAGGGGGGUGAACCACAUAAUUAAAAGGAGUUAGCAAGAGAAAGGAAGUGUGCUGUUGGGGCUAAGGGGGAGGCACCAGAUUGGCAAAGGCUGGUUAAAGGCAGGGUGUUGGUUUCUGGAGUACUAUCUGGAAUGUUGAUACUACUGUGUAGCUAAUGACAAAUGGCCUGUCUCCAUUAUGCAGAGUCUGCUGUGAUCCUAAAUCCAUAGCUCAUCCAUCUACCGAGAUGACUGGCUGAAGUUGACCAGUCAAGGCAAACUGUAGAUAAGCUUUUUUCCAUAUGCCACACAUCCUACUGUUCCUCCAAAGAGGGCCAUAGCAGACUACGUACAGUCUCUCAUACAAAUGGAUGCUUAACUUACUUCAGUGCAAUGGUAUAAUUUCAAUGUGUGCCUUCAAACCGUUUGACAGGAGAGAUUUUUGAAGUCUGCUCUCCCAAGUUUGCUAUGAGACUUUGGUGGGCUGGUGAGAGUAGUCAGUUUCAGCAACCAUGCUAGGUAAAGGUAAAGAGACCCCUGACCAUUAGGUCCAGUUGUGACCGACCCUGGGGUUGCGGUGCUCAUCUCGCUUUAUUGGCCGAGGGAGCCAGUGUACAGCUUCCAGGUCAUGUGGCCAGCAUGACAAAGCCACUUCUGGUGAACCAGAGCAGCACACGGAAACGCCGUUUACCUUCCCACCGGAGUGGUACCUAUUUAUCUACUUGCACUUUGAUGUGCUUUCGAACUGCUAGGUUGGCAGGAGCUGGGUCCCAGCAACGGGAGCUCACCCCGUCGCGGGGAUUUGAACCGCUGACCUUCUGAUCAGCAAGCCCUAGGCUCUGUGGUUUAACCCACAGCGCCACCCGCUGUCCCAACCAUACUAGUUCAUCUUUUUUUGUGUGUGUGUAAGGUGAGCACACCCACAUCCAUGUGCUGUUGCAGCAUGUAUUAUACUUGUGUGUGUUUUUUAAGUGGUGGUAGGGUACCUUUGGCUCUCCAGAUAUUAUUGAACUUCAUCUCCCAUCAGCCCCAGCCACUGUAGCCAAUGGUCAGGAGUGAUGUGACCUGUAGUCCUGCAAUGGCUGGAGGCAUAUGUUUCUGCAGGAGUUUUUCCUGGGGGUUGGAGCAAAGCAGGUGGGGAGAAUGAGGGAGUAGGCUAGUUUCUAGCAGCAAUAGUGCCUGUACAUUUCCCCACAUACCUCAAGUAGCUAGAAUUUUUUUUAAAAAAUAAGAUGGGAAUUUGGGGGUUAUGAUUCAUUGAGGUGAGCUUUCCCCUAUCCUCCUCUCCACUCAUCCACAGAUUGUUCAUACAUGUUGGGUAGAUAUUUCAGUAUUGGCUUGAAAGCAGCCAGUAUAAAAAUGAGCUCCAUUAUCAUGACAAGUCAAUCUAUCAGCUUGAAUUCUAAUUCUGAUUUACUUCUCUCAGUGCCAUUGCUUAUGUAGUCAAAAGUGCAAUAGACACACACAAGGAAUUAGCAUGCUUGAGGCAACCUCAAGGUUUGCAGAAAAAAACAAUGUUUAGAGGGGGGGACAAAGGGGGAGGAAACCCCCUAAACCAACACAAUGAGAUCAUGCUUAAGUGCCCACAGAAAGCUGGCUGACUGCUGACAGUGGGGGAGACAGAACACUUCAGAAAAAGCCUGUAGGGGAAGACCAGCCCUCCCAUAAAACAGCCCAAAGAAGACGUGAGUAAGGUCAAUGGAGGAUUGCUAAAUCUUUAGGUGAGGUCAAGGGAAGAGAUGGGGAAUGGUAUGGACUGGAAGAGUACAGGGUACUAGCCCAGCCAGCCAAAAACAAGGAACACUCCACACUGCAGAACUUAGCUGCAGAUCUCACUUGUAUUUACAAGUAAUCAUCCUCUUAUCACCCUGUUCUGUGUAAUUUUAAACAUAGGCUUUGCCAAGUGUGCUAAUGUUCAUUCACCUUGCAAAUGGACAAACAACAUCAUUCAGGCUAGUUCCCCUUUGUGCUGCCUUGUGCCUGUGGCUAUUUUGAGAACAACAACAAGUCUUAAACUGAUUCAAUUAGACCAGGCACGUACAACAGGUAGAUCGUGAUCUACUGGUAGAUCACUGGAUGUUUGUGGUAGAUCACUGGUAGAUCACUGGCUCCCCCCAAAGAAGCUCAACAACUUUGGCUCCCACCAAAAAAGCUCAAAAGUUUUGCCCUGCACCCCAAAGAAACAAGGCUUUCCUUCCCCCUAAAAAAAGCCCUACAACUUUGACCUGAACCCUUAAAAAAUGGGCCUUCCUCCUUCCUAAAAAAAGCUCAACAAUUUUGACCUGAACCCCCAGAUCACCACCAGAUUUUAACUCUGUGAGUAGAUCACAGUCUCUUGGGAGUUGGCCACCCCUGCAUUAGACCAUGGGUAGGCAAACUAAGGCCUAUCUAAUCGCCUUCUAAAUCCGGCCCACGGACGGUCUGGGAAUCAGCAUGUUUUUACAUGAGUAGAAUGUGCCCUUUUAUUUAAAAUGCAUCUCUGGGUUAUUUGUGGGGCAUAGGAAUUCGUUCAUUCCCCCCCCCCCAAAAAAAUAUAUAUUAUAGUCCACACACACCCCACAAGGUCUGAGGGACAGUGGACCGGCCCCCUGCUGAAAAAGUUUGCUUCAGGCCCUUUGUUGUUGCUGAGAUCUUCUGCCUCACCCUCCAUGAGAUGCUCACAUCUCUAACCACUUUCUUCUGGAUACCUACAGACCAUUGUGCAUUUUCAGCAGAAUCCUUUUCCACAGUGCCACUUGAACUUCAGCAGAACCUAGCACUUCUUUCAAAAUGGAGCCACUGCUUCCUAAGCUGUAAAGCAGUUGCCUGAUCCAGCCCGAGCAAUUUUUAUCUCCACCCUCCCAUGACUGAGCUUUUGGCAGUUCUAAAAAGGGAGUGGCAGUAAACAUCAUGACAGGGUGAGCAGAGCCUGGCAUCCUCCCUGGGUCAUAAAAUCAAAUAUUUGAUAGGGGGAUAGGCCCUUUCCUCAUAUGACCUGCAUGGACCAGCUGAGAAGGGGAAGCUGUGUGCCUCUGUGUGUGUGUCUGCAAGACUGUGUGGGCAAAUGUGGGGUGGCCACACCCACCACUGCCAUGUGACCCCUGGAAGGCGGGACAAGGAUCAAUGUGGCCCUCAGAGCAAAAAAAGGUAGCCACAUCACAUUGGCUAGUUAAUGGCUGUAAAGCAAGAGAUGAACCAUUAACUGUACUACUUAAGCUUCUGCCGUAUAAGACUACUUUUUAACCCAGGAAAAUCUUCUCAAAUGUCGGGGGUCAUUUUAUAUGCCGGUUGUAUUUCUUAUACGGCGAGUAUAUCCCAAACUCUAUAUUUUAGCUGGAAAAGUUGGGGGUCGUCUUAUACGCCCAGUCUUAUACACCAGAAUAUACGGUAUGUUGCCAUUUGCACUAUCUCAAUUUCCUUGGUAAUCAGAGGCAUAAAAUACUUGCACAUCCUUUGCUUGAAUAGCUUCAUGAGUGCAUCUGUUUACAAACCUCUCUUGAUCUAGUUACAGGUAGGUAGCUAUGUUGGUCUGACGUAGUCGAAACGAAAUAAAAAAAUUCUCUUGAUCUGUCUGCUUGCUGCUGAAUGAUAAAUUUAAAAAGCAACCCAAAAGGUAAAGGUAUCUGUGCUAGCCCACACGAAAAAUUCCGAAAGCCAUAUUAGAGCAGUGUGUUAGCUUUCAAGUUCUACAGAACUCCUUUUCAGACUAGGCAGCGGGAGACCAUGGUUACAAGUGGGUUUCAGUUAUUGACACACAACUGUUGUGUGUUCCACCUUCCCAGCAUCCCUACAGGCAACGGGAAACCAGCACCUAACAGAGGCUCACUCGAAUGUACAGUAUGCCAGCUCCUCUAUGAUCCCAUCUAAAGUCUUUUAACAGAUGCAGAAUCCAUAACAUCACUAUAAGCUGCUUUCUCCCCUCCCGCCCUUUCUCCGUUUACCAUCCUACAACAGGGGUAGCAAACUCUGUGCCCUCCACAUGUUGCUGGACUACAAACCUGCAUUAUCUCCGAUCACUGUUUAUACUGGUUGGGGCUGAUGGGAGUUGUGCCCAGUUGCCUGCUUCUGAGCCAGAUGAAGUGUUUGGAGAACUGGAAACUUUUUCACAAUAUGUUGUUAUAUCUUUGUUGGCUUAAUGAUGUUAUCACCCUAAUAGGGAUUUUAAAAGCAAGUGUCUUUUCUUUGUUUCAUGAGUAAGAACUUCCAGAGAGGCAAUGGUGAAUCUUUGAUACAAACAUAUAUGUGCCAUAUGUCUGGAUUUUCCCGGACAUUAGCAGGAUCCCAAAGGCUGAAACGACAUCCGAGGGGAAUUUCCAAAAUAUGGCAACCCUACACAAAAACACAGUCGUUUCUGGUAACGUCUUGGAAGUGGGAGCAAAGUGUGAUUCAUUUUAACUACAUUUAUAUGCUGCCUUUGUACCAAAGCACUCAAAAAUCAUAGACUCAUAGAACUGUAGAGAUGGAAGGGACCCCAAGGGUCAUCUAGUCCAACCCCCUGCAAUUCAGGAAUCUCAGCUAAAGCAUCCAUGACAGAUGGCCAUCCAACCUCGGCUUUAAAACCUCCAAGGGGAGUCCACCCCAUCCUGAGAGGUGUUACUAUUUUAAAACCUUGGCAUUCAAGCAAAUAUGCACACUACCCACCCCAUACCCCUGUACUACAAGGUACAGGAAAUUACUUUGGCUUCAAAGAGACUGAUCAGCAUUGGUCAGAUUUCCGCCAUCGCUUCCACAGAAAUGCUGGAAUGCUGUGGAGGAAGGGAUGCUUUGAAUCUUAUAUACUGGAUUCCUCAGGUUUUAUUUGCCAGUCACAAAAUAAAUGCCCAAAUAUUUGAAAGACAUUUAUUUCAGUGGUUGUCUGUCCAUGCUCUGUUCAAAUUAGGGUGAAAUACAUCUGAAGCCCAGUCGAUGGAUUUGUGGGUGGGAGUGGAAACAGGCAAGGGAACAAGAGAGAUGGAAAACAGGCAAGGGCAGGCAGAGAGAGAGAGAGAGAGAGUGCAGUCAGUUCUGCCAAAAUAGUAUUUUACACAAAACAUUAUCUAUACAGCAAUGGACUUCUGUAUGUGAAGUAUUGUGUAUGCUCACCCACCGAAUAGAUGGCUGAUGCAUGGCUAGGAGGAGGAGGAGGAGAGGACGCCGCCGUUUCCGAGGCCCAGCCCCACGUGACGCCCCAGCUCUGAGGGGCAGGCGAGGGCAGGGCCGCCCUGAGCUGGAAGGAAGGGGGAGCGCAGCGGAGCACCAAGCCUGGUAUGGCCGCCUCCUCCUCUGCCACGAGAGGCUCCGCCGCCACCUGCUUCCCCCAGCAACCGCCAUCUGUGAGGGGAAGGGCCGGGACAGAUGAAGAUCCCCAGCGCUUGCUCUUGCCGGGGCUCACUCGAGGGCUUGCGAGCCGAUUCAUUCAGGAUAAAUCCUUUUGCAGCUCUUCACAAUCCUUUUAAAAAGCCCAUCUUGAACAGUUAAGUAUAAUCAGCAAACUUGACUACUUCACUAACUUUAGACCAGUUAUGAACAAAUAAAAAGCACAGGCCUCAAAACUGAUACUUGGGGGACCCUGCUGUCUACAUCCCUCCACUGCAGAACUGUCCAUUUAUUCCUACUCUCUGCUUCUUGCAGAGGACCUCUUAUUCCAUGACUGCUAAGCUUACUCAAAAGUCUUUGGUGAGGUACUUGAAAGGUGAUGGAGAUGAAGAGGCCUUCAUCUGCACUUGACUCUGCACACUCCCGCAGAGCCUGGUCUGGAAAAUUGAUUUGCUGGGAAGAAUCAGGGCUGCAAGGAAGGGCCUUGGAGAAAAGAGCCAGGCCACAAACGCAAUGAUUCCAGCAGCUUUUGCAGCUCUAGCAGAUAGGGCAGUUUGAUCUUAUUCCCGUUUUCCAGGCAGGGAGAGAGGGCUGAGAUGAGAGACAAUGGCUUGUCUUGGAGUUAAUGGUUGGAGAAUUCCUACUGUGCUAUGUCUCUAGUUCAGGCAUUCCCAAACUUCGGCCCUCCAGAUGUUUUGGAUUACAAUUCCCAUCAUCCCUGACCACUGGUCCUGUUAGCUAGGGAUCUUGGGAGUUGUAGGCCAAAACAUCUGGAGGGCCGCAGUUUGGGGAUUCCUGCUCUAGGUUGAGGUUUCCCAAACUUAGGUCUCCAGUUGUUUUUGGGCUACAACUCCCAUCAUAGCUAGCAGGACCAGUGGUCAGCAAUGAUGAGAACUGUAAUCCCAAAACAGCUGGAGACCCAAGUUUGGCAAACCCUGCUCUAGGUGCUCUGAUGCUGUAUAGAAGAGGUUUGACGCACAGUGUUGUUGCUGCAUAUUCGGAAGUUAUGAUUCCCUAUUCAGGCAUUUGGCACCUAAAGAUACCAAACAUGAUAAGAACUAGUGGGAAAGUGUGCCUGGUCAAAGUAUGAUCAGUUCAGUUUGAAGGAAGCCACUUCAACAAGUAUAGGGGUAACUCUGUCGGCCCUUCAUUGACCAGGCUUCCCUUCAGCCUAGCUGAUUUCCGUAACUGUGGGACGGUGCCAGCCUGUGCCAUUCAAGGGUGGUUGCAAAUUAGCACACAUUCUGAAAAGUACACUUUAAAGGCUGGACGGUGUAGGAUUGAUCUAUAACCCAUCCAGCAAAUUUACAGAGGGUAAAAGACUGAUGACGGACUCUGCCGAAAUGGCAAAAUUAACUGGGAAGUUCAGAAAUCAAGACGACAAGAACUUUAAAAGAGAAUGGGAAAAGUUUCUAAUUUAUAUACAAGAUCAUUGUAAGCAGGUUAAAACACAGUCAGGAUUUUAACCACACUUGUAAUGGAAUGGAAUGUAUGUAUAAUUUAGAAUAACAAAGAAUUGGAGAGGUACUGUACUGAUACGCAGUUGAAAAUAUUAUCAACAAGACCAGUGGAAGGGAUGGGGGGGGGGAGUCAGGAGAUUCAGAGUAAUCUUGAUAUUUGGAUUUUGAAUAGUUUUUUGUUGUAGGUUUAUAUUUUUGAAAAUCAAAUAAAAAUUGAAUCAUUAAAAAAAAAAACAGUAGCCCUUUGGAUGGGCAUCCA
Molecule: non-coding RNA, 7297 nt
Organism: Zootoca vivipara (common lizard)
Lineage: Eukaryota; Metazoa; Chordata; Lepidosauria; Squamata; Lacertidae
Source: RefSeq, a predicted model, not a curated record